Molecule: long non-coding RNA, 2081 nt
Organism: Fukomys damarensis (Damara mole-rat)
Lineage: Eukaryota; Metazoa; Chordata; Mammalia; Rodentia; Bathyergidae
Source: Ensembl
GCUGCUCUUUCGGCAUUUUCUGAUAGGCACGCUACUCCACGGGGCAUAAAAGGGCCUCCUCAGGGCCCUUGCUGAGCGUUUCAGUCAAAGAACCCAGUCAGGGGGCACAAAGGAGAAACAAACCUCAAAGAAAAUCCUCCGGAAAAUUUGCCCCCUCCUCAUUCGUACACCUCUGGCUCUGGUGUGUAUUUGGCAGGUUCUGGAGCACUGACUGUCCUUCAUGAAUUUUUUCCUAAAGGCCCAACAAGGGAGUGUGAUUCACACCCGAGGAAAUGGACGGACACUAGCUCUUUUCAUUGCAUUGAGAACUCCUGGAGCCGGCUUUCCAGGACACUCCCUGGACAUAGUUGUGCAGCUCCUCCCAAACAUCUGGCCUUCCCAGAACUCGGAAGGCGGGCAUGCCAUCCUUUCAGCCUCGACUCUGCAUGAAGUGUGAUCAUUUGGGAAGAAAAAGGCUUAAUUGGCCUCCUUGGUGAGCACUGAGAAGAGGGCGUGCAAAUGUGCUAACACACUGCAGGGAAAAAUAAAAACACCCGAGGUUAAGUUGUUUACCUGGAGAAGGACCAUGGAAAGUGGGAGACAGAUGGAUCCUGUGGAAUUCUAAUUGCUUGUGACUGAGUCUCAGUGAAUAAAGCCAAGGUGCACCAGUUGUUUGGGGCUUUACAUUGGAAAUAUGAGCCCACUGGCUCCCCAGAUUUUAACUUGUUUCUGUGUCUCUUUAUUUUUCAUCUUUAUCACCCCUUGGUCAGGUUCAAGACCAGCUGGUAGGCUGGUUCCUACAUGAUUCCGUGUAUAUUAAGCCACAGUCUCAUGUGAUUUCCUAAGCAGAUUUUUUCCCCAUAGAUAAUCAUCCAAAUAGCUAUGUGCAGCCAUAUUUCUCUUUGAAAAUUAAUGAAAAAGUUAUCCUAAAAUAAAAAUCAUCUCUUCAUGGGCUGCACAAUCACAUUUCUUUACAGAUGAAGUUGCAAAGUAGACCUUGGAACAUGGUGAUUUUUAUCAGGAUAACACUGUCCUUUCAGUCAUAUCUGGACAAUAAAGCUUUCCUAAUCAACAACUGUAACUCAUUUCCCUAUCAUUGACAGUGACAUAUCUUUCUAGUAAGUCCCACAGUCCCAAAGCAGAAGAUUUUGUCCAUAUCCAUAGGGAGAAAAACAUUUUAGAGUGGGAUCCAGAACACAAUUGAAAGUUUCAUAAAAUGAUACUACAUUAGUUGUCUAAAAUCAGAGUAAUAGGCAAAUACCACUGUUGUGGAAUCCACAGAUAAAAGCAUGCUUAGUCUAUACUUUCUCCUUCUCUCUUUAUUCUACUGACCAGUCUCAACUGCCUUGAGCCAUGCCUUGCACAUGUAUUUUCCACCUAUGACCUCUGGCCACCUCUGAACCCCAGUCUGAUUCCACCUGUUGCAUGUACCUUCAUCAACCAUUUGUCUUUCCUAUAUUUUUCAGGACAAUUUUUACUUUUUUUGGUGAAAGGCUGGUUUUAUUUAGAAUAUAUGUUCCUUUGACCUAAGUCCUAUUGUUUGCCACUGCCCACUAAAUUCUGACCUUAGCUUCAUCCAGGGCCUUAUAGUGAUUGAGGAUGCCCCGUUUUUUCUAUAUUAAAUGCCUUCAUUCAUUCAACAGGCACUUAUAUGCCAGGCAUUGUUCUCCAGGCAACCAACUCCAGUUUACCCACACUCUGACCAUUCUAACCCACCUCUAUCUUCCAAAUAGGCCUGCCAUUCUUAUCGUGUGUAUGCAACUGUACUAAUUUAUGAAUGACUGAUAAAUAUCUCUGGAAAUCACCUACUAACAGAAAUGCAAACCUUUUUUCAUGACUACAUUUUUGUAGAUAAGGAAAAUAAUUUUUUGAGUCUGAGAGCUCUGGGUUCAAAUCCUUGUUUUUCCAAUUUUUUUGCUGUAUAAUAUUAAGCAUCAGUUCAUCAUUUGUAACAUCAUAAGGGUUUUAUAAAUAUUAAAUAGAACACAUGAAAUUGUAUAUAAGUGCUUCAUGUGCCUUGUUAACGUCUUCCAAGAACCCAACAGUAUUCUUACAUUUUAUAGACGAGAAAAUUGAGCCUCAAGGACAUUAAGGAACAUGGC